UUCCUCUUGAGUAACUGAUUUGAGGUACGCCCUGCCCAGUGACUUAUAUAGUUAAACGGCGGCAGUAAUUUGUCCAAAGGUAGCAAAAUGAUUUGCCCCCUAAUUAGGGGCCGGAAUGAACGGGUCCACGCAGAGCACCUGUCUCUUUUAAUUAACUAAAAACUAUUCUUUAGGUGAAAAAACCUAAAUUUUAAUAGAAGACAAGAAGACCCUGUCGUACUUAAUUUGAUAUGUAGUAGCAAUUACCUCCAUUAAAAUUUAGUUGGGAUGACUGAAGACUUAAACACUUUACAACCAAGCAAAUUAGAACACAACUCAUAAAUAAUAGACCCUUUUAAGACCGUUGAAUAAAGUAACCGCAGGGAUAACAGUCUAAUCCCCCUCAAGAGACCCUAUCGAAAGGGGGGCUUGGCACCUCGAUGUUGGCUUAGGAUACCUAUACAUGCGCAGCAGCUAUACAAGGAGGUUUGUUCAACCUUUAAAUUCCU
Molecule: ribosomal RNA, 488 nt
Filed under: Echiuroidea sp. RCMB016
Lineage: Eukaryota; Metazoa; Annelida; Polychaeta; Echiuroidea
Also listed under: 2 other names
Description: partial 16S ribosomal RNA
Rfam family: Bacterial large subunit ribosomal RNA
Source: RNAcentral